AGAGUGCGUAAUAGCUCACUGGUCAAGUGAUUCCGCGCCGACAAUGUAACGGGGCUCAAGCACAUCACCGAAGUCGUAGCAUUUACACCAUAGGUAGGCCUUCGUGGUCCAGCCGUGUAAAUGGGUAGGAGAGCGUCGUGUGGCGAGUGAAGCGGCGGAGUGAUCCAGCCGUGGACGCCACACGAGUGAGAAUGCAGGCAUGAGUAGCGAAAGACGGGUGAGAAACCCGUCCUCCGAAAGACUAAGGGUUCCA
Molecule: ribosomal RNA, 253 nt
Filed under: Ctenophora environmental sample
Lineage: Eukaryota; Metazoa; Ctenophora
Description: partial Bacterial large subunit ribosomal RNA
Rfam family: Bacterial large subunit ribosomal RNA
Source: RNAcentral